Molecule: ribosomal RNA, 253 nt
Filed under: uncultured bacterium
Lineage: Bacteria
Description: partial 16S ribosomal RNA
Rfam family: Bacterial small subunit ribosomal RNA
Source: RNAcentral
UACGUAGGCAGCAAGCGUUGUUCGGAAUUACUGGGCGUAAGGAGUGUGUAGGUGGUGUCGUAAGUUUGGUGUGAAAUCUCCCGGCUUAACUGGGAGGGUGCGCCGAAGACUGCGAUGCUGGAGUAUGGGAGAGGAAAGCGGAAUUCCUGGUGUAGCGGUGAAAUGCGUAGAUAUCAGGAGGAACACCUGCGGUGUAGACGGCUUUCUGGACCAUUACUGACACUGAGACACGAAAGCGUGGGUAGCAAACAGG